Molecule: ribosomal RNA, 530 nt
Filed under: uncultured bacterium
Lineage: Bacteria
Description: partial 16S ribosomal RNA
Rfam family: Bacterial small subunit ribosomal RNA
Source: RNAcentral
GACGAACGCUGGCGGCGUGCCUAAUACAUGCAAGUCGAACGAACUCUGGUAUUGAUUGGUGCUUGCAUCAUGAUUUACAUUUGAGUGAGUGGCGAACUGGUGAGUAACACGUGGGAAACCUGCCCAGAAGCGGGGGAUAACACCUGGAAACAGAUGCUAAUACCGCAUAACAACUUGGACCGCAUGGUCCGAGCUUGAAAGAUGGCUUCGGCUAUCACUUUUGGAUGUUCCCGCAGCGUAUUAGCUAGAUGGUGGGGUAACGGCUAACCAUGGCACUGAUACGUAGCCGAGCUGGGAGGGUAAUCGGCAACAUUGGGACUGAGACACGGUCCAAACUCGUACGGGAGGCAGCAGUAGGGAAUCUUCCACACUGGACGAAAGUCUGAUGUAGCAACGCCGCGUGAGUGAAGAAGGGUUUCGGCUCGUAAAACUCUGUUGUUAAAGAAGAACAUAUCUGAGAGUAACUGUUCAGGUAUUGACGGUAUUUAACCAGAAAGCCACGGCUAACUACGUGCCAGCCGCCGCAGUAA